GCGUAUCUGCAACGACAACCAUCCACCUCUCUAAAUUUCCAUGCACUUUAUUUUUCUUAAUGGCCAGUAAAUCAUAUGCUAUUUUCCCCUGAGCAUCAGGCACCUCUGCGUGAUUCCACCAACUUCCUGGUCGGAGGUGCAGACACAUGUUGGGAGCCUACAAACGAGCUAGAAGAAACAGCCGUUAGAACAGUGACUCCAAGUGUGUUGGCAUGUCGGCUGGUUGCACCUGCGGCCUCCCCCACUGCAAUAACGCGGACAGACAGUGCCAGCACCUUUACAGGCGCCCCUGGAGCGUUGGGUUGCCCACCUGCGGC
This is a long non-coding RNA of Ixodes scapularis (black-legged tick), 317 nucleotides long. RefSeq lists it as uncharacterized. The record is from RefSeq and is a predicted model, not a curated record. The transcript is spliced from 3 exons. NCBI's taxonomy places the organism in Eukaryota, Metazoa, Arthropoda, Arachnida, Ixodida, Ixodidae.